UUGGUCAAUAGUCUAACGACUGAACCAGCAACUAGAGGGAAUGAAAAAUUGUAUUAUACAAUACAAAAUGUAUUAACUCAUUAAAAUUCUGAGUAAUAUUUGAUAAUGACAUUUAUUACUCAAAUGUCUUGACCAAAUCAUGUGCCAGCAGUCGCGGCAAUACAUGGAAGACUAGUGUUAUUCAUCUUAAAUAGGUUUAAAGGGUACCUAGACGGUUAAAUAGACCUUAUAUAGGGUACAUAUUAACUAGAGUUUAAUGUAAAUUGGGCGGAUAGAACGAGUAGAGUAGAGAUAGAAUUCUUUGAUACACUCUGUAGACUGAUAAAGGCGAAAGCAACCUUUUAUGUAAAAACUGACGUUGAGGGACGAAAGCGACGACAAAUAAACAGGAUUAGUUACCCAAGUAAUGUGUGCUGUAAAUGAUGAAUGUCAUAUGUAAGAUAAAUAUUUUAUGUAUAAAUGAAAGUGUAAGCAUUCCACCUCAAGAGUACAGUGGCAACGCAGGAACUGAAAUCAUUAGACCGUUUCUGAGAACAGUAGUGAAGUAUGUUGUUUAAUUUGAUAAUCCACGGAAAACCUUACCACAAUUUGUAUUUAUAUAUAUACUUAUAUAUAAACAAGCGUUGCACGGCUGUCUUUAGUUAAUGUCGUGAGAUUAUGGUUAGAUUCAUAAAAUUAACGUAAACCCUUAUUUUAUUUUUAAUAAAAUAGUUUUUCAAUCUUUAUUGAAAAUUUAUAACAGGGAUCAAGACAAGUCAUCNUGGCCUUAACAUUGUGGGCUAUA
This 784-nucleotide ribosomal RNA is filed under the name Cryptodiscus pallidus. RNAcentral's name for it is "SSU rRNA". It matches the Rfam family "Bacterial small subunit ribosomal RNA", at positions 364 to 1218 of the family's 1533-position model. The record is from RNAcentral. Lineage: Eukaryota; Fungi; Ascomycota; Lecanoromycetes; Ostropales; Stictidaceae.